RNAcentral lists this long non-coding RNA (1314 nucleotides) under Callithrix jacchus (white-tufted-ear marmoset). Its description in RNAcentral is "lncRNA (ENSCJAG00000070313.1)". The record is from RNAcentral. Lineage: Eukaryota; Metazoa; Chordata; Mammalia; Primates; Cebidae.
GCUUUGAAUGAAUAAAAAUCAGAAGACAACAACUUCGUUAGAUUUGUACCACAGUUAUCCUUACAAACAGUGUUCAAUUUUACCAACAGCUAGAUUUUCUUCUUCCGUUGUCUUCUCCUAGAGCAUAAGCAUGUCAAAGGCAGACUAUAUUUUCUCCAUUUCUGUGCCAUUUCCGCAGGCUUCCAACAAAACCAUAAACGUUGAUGUGGAUACCAGGACAGUGUUUCAGGCAAUUUAGAUGCAAUGUAAAACAGACUGAUGCCGUAGUGGAAGAAGUUGAAGCCGCUUUGCCAAGAUACCUGGUUCUGGUGACAGAAAUUAAGCCCAAACAGACUUAUGGGUAACAAAAGGCAAAAUAAUAUGACUACUCUGAAAAGAUCAGAGACAAGAAUUGAGAUUGCUGCAGACUCAUACGGAUACAGAUUUGCAGCCAGUAACAGGAUGAACCUCAUUUGAGACUCUGUGUAUUGCUAUAAAAAGAACAAGGUAUGGAUGCCAGGGACAGCCAAAAAUUUGAUUCUACUACACUCCAUAUAUAUAUAUAUAAAAUAUAAUACUUUGUAUAUUUUGAAUUCUUUCCGUGCCUGCCAAUUAAUGUCUAUUUGAUAAAAAUUUCUAUAGGGGCAAGGUCAAUUCCUAAGUGUUACCUAAUUUAUUUUAAUUGAAGGUAAGAAAAUCCUAGUGUAACAGAAACCUCGAAGCUGAAGCAGUUGACUACCAAGAGGCCAUUAUUCCAUUUGGCUAGAAAUUGGCAGAUGGAACAAGAAUUGAUUCCAGAGUUACUGAUGACUUGGCUCUCCCCCUGUUUUCAAGGGGGAUUCUACUGAACCAUCAAGUCAUCGAUUUGCUCAUUUCUGCUUCCAUCAGUGAUUAAUAACUCUGUGGUCGGAUAGGGUAUCUUUGCAAUUGCUAAGUGCUAAGUCAUUCAUCUCAUUAGGAAUACAUUCCUACUUUUAUUUGCUGCCUGAAAAGAAUGCACCAUAAGCUCUGCAGUUAUAGCUUGUGUAUGAGGUCUUAAUUAAGAAAUGAAAAUUAUUGUUUCCUUUAAAAAUUGGUAAUGUUAGAAAAACUUGAAGACUUUGGAAUGGGUACAUGUUCAGUGGAAUACUGAAGACUGGGGAUUAUCUGAUGCUGUGUCAAUGUACCUUUGUCUUUGACUAGGCUAUUUUUUAAACUCUUUAAGUUGUAAAUAAAUAACAGCAAUGCAACUAAUUCUUAUCUAUUACUUCUCCAUUGAUGAUGUGACAAAUUUCAUGACUUAAAAUAACACAAGUUUAUUAUCUUAUAGUUCUGGAGGUCAGAAGUCCCACACAG